ACGCUGGCGGCGUGCCUCAGAAGAAAGACGAACGCGAAAGUCCCCUUCGGGGGGCGAGUAGAGUGGCGCACGGGUGAGUAACACGUAGGUAAUUUGCCUUCGGGUGGGGAAUAACAGCCGGAAACGGCUGCUAAUACCGCAUAAUGCAGCGGCUCGACAUCGAGACAGUUGUUAAAGCGGGGGAUUCGCAAGAACCUCGCGCCUGAAGAGAAACCUGCGGCAGAUUAGCUAGUUGGCAGGGUAAUGGCCUACCAAGGCAACGAUCUGUAACCGGCCUGAGAGGGCGGUCGGUCACACUGACACUGACAUACGGGUCAGACUCCUACGGGAGGCAGCAGUCGGGAAUUCUGGGCAAAGGGCGGAGGCCUGACCCAGCAACGCCGCGUGAAGGAUGAAAUCCCUCGGGAUGUAAACUUCGCAAGAAUGGGAAGAAUAAGUAGAAGCUAAUACCUUCUAUGAUGACGGUACCAUUUGUAAGCUCCGGCUAACUCCGUGCCAGCAGCCGCGGUAAUACGGGGGGAGCAAGCGUUGUUCGGAUUUACUGGGCGUAAAGGGCGCGUAGGCGGCCACGACAAGUCAGUUGUGAAAUCUCUGGGCUUAACUCAGAACGGUCAACUGAUACUGUCGGGCUAGAGUGCAGAAGGGCAACUGGAAUUCUCGGUGUAGCGGUGAAAUGCGUAAAUAAUCGAGAGGAACACCUGCCGGCGAAUGCGGUUGCUGGGCUGACACUGACGCUGAGGCGCGAUAGCUAGGGGAGCGAACGGGAUU
Molecule: ribosomal RNA, 768 nt
Filed under: uncultured bacterium
Lineage: Bacteria
Description: bacterial SSU rRNA
Rfam family: Bacterial small subunit ribosomal RNA
Source: RNAcentral